This 440-nucleotide ribosomal RNA is filed under the name uncultured bacterium. RNAcentral describes it as "partial 16S ribosomal RNA". It matches the Rfam family "Bacterial small subunit ribosomal RNA", at positions 338 to 795 of the family's 1533-position model. The record is from RNAcentral.
CCUACGGGGGGCAGCAGUGGGGAAUAUUGCACAAUGGGGGAAACCCUGAUGCAGCGACGCCGCGUGAGUGACGAAGUAUUUCGGUAUGUAAAGCUCUAUCAGCAGGGAAGAAAAUGACGGUACCUGAUUCAGAAGCCCCGGCUAACUACGUGCCAGCAGCCGCGGUAAUACGUAGGGGGCAAGCGUUAUCCGGAUUUACUGGGUGUAAAGGGAGCGUAGACGGCAGCACAAGUCUGGAGUGAAAUGCCGGGGCUUAACCCCGGAACUGCUUUGGAAACUGUGCAGCUGGAGUGGAGGAGAGGUAAGUGGAAUUCCUAGUGUAGCGGUGAAAUGCGUAGAUAUUAGGAGGAACACCAGUGGCGAAGGCGGCUUACUGGACGGUAACUGACGUUGAGGCUCGAAAGCGUGGGGAGCAAACAGGAUUAGAUACCCUGGUAGUC